AUUGAACGCUGGCGGCAUGCUUUACACGUGCAAGUCGAACGGUAACAGGGUGCUUGCACCGCUGACGAGUGGCGAACGGGUGAGUAAUGCGUCGGAACGUGCCGAGUAGUGGGGGAUAACGCAGCGAAAGUUGUGCUAAUACCGCAUACGUACUGAGGUAGAAAGUGGGGGACCUUCGGGCCUCACGCUAUUCGAGCGGCCGACGUCUGAUUAGCUAGUAGGUGAGGUAAAGGCCCACCUAGGCGACGAUCAGUAGUGGGUCUGAGAGGAUGAUCCGCCACACUGGGACUGAGACACGGCCCAGACUCCUACGGGAGGCAGCAGUGGGGAAUUUUGGACAAUGGGCGAAAGCCUGAUCCAGCCAUGCCGCGUGUCUGAAGAAGGCCUUCGGGUUGUAAAGGACUUUUGUCAGGGAGGAAAUCCCUAGUGCUAAUAACACUGGGGGAUGACAGUACCUGAAGAAUAAGCACCGGCUAACUACGUGCCAGCCGCCGCGGUAA
Molecule: ribosomal RNA, 500 nt
Filed under: uncultured bacterium
Lineage: Bacteria
Description: partial 16S ribosomal RNA
Rfam family: Bacterial small subunit ribosomal RNA
Source: RNAcentral